CACAUCCAUAAACUUUCCGAAAGGGUCAUAUCGAGGUUGUUGUUUUUUUAUUAUUAUUCUGAUGUGUUUGUCCGAUAGCGCGUAAGGAUCAAGGGUCUGUUGGUGCUGUGUGGCAAAUCUCAGCUGAUCGAUCAACCUUAAUGCAGACAUUUGAACCUAAUGCCAUUAAAGCAGUGCACGUAUUUUCUCUAACUUUUAAGAUGUCUAAGGCCACAGAAUGGGGUGCCACAACAAGAAGGCCUUUCAGGCUCUUUCAGCGGGGAUUAGAGAAGCCGCUGCUCUCCACGGCUCAGUAAUGUGACUAUAAUUCCUCUGUGAUUUGUAGCCUUACUGCAAUCUAAUAAUUCUAUAAAUUGGGGGAAAACCCCCCAAAACGGAUCAAACAGGCUUGAAAGCAGCAAACACACUGAAUGAAGGGACUUUUACCGAAGCUCGGAGGGAGAGAUUUCAACUGCGGGACCCUGUGAACCACAUGUCUAGACUUUGCCUCUCCAUCUCUGCACCUAGGAAAGAUGGCCGGUUCCUCCCAGGGGAGAAAGCAGUCUGAGAAGUCAUAGCACAAGCUUCUGAUCAUGUUCACGACGGAUCCGGAGACUAUACCAGGAACACCUGGCAGGAAGAUACCCUACGACCUGGAUGGUACAUUCUAGUACUGGGGAGAGGUGAAUGCGAGUCGCUUGAAUGUGAUUGAAUAUUAUUGUGGAGCAGUUUGAGUAAGCAUGAUUACCGAUUCGAUUUUAAGUACUAAAUAUUUCUAAAUGUUUUUAUACAUUUUUUUAGAUGAUUUGAAAAGGUACCGAUCCUAUCCACACCAACAGCUAGCUGAUGUCCUGUCAGGGUUAUCUUAUCUGUGGCUAAUUAAGCGGUAAGACAUCUAAGAUUGUUCCUAGGACAGGCUCCGAAUCCACCGUGAACCUGAUCAGGAUAAAGAUGAAUGACCACAUCCUGGACUGGUCAUCAUUUGCCUGAUGAAGAAUUUAGUUCUUGGCAUGAAUGACCAUGAUUUCUAAUUUCAAGACAUUUCUCCUGUUUCUCACCGUGUGCGAAUUUCUCAGAAUCAGCUGCCUCAGAAGGGGUCAUUGUAUUUAAAAAAAAAAAAAACAAAACACAAUUUACAAGACUACAGACUGAUUCAGAGACUACCGAUUUCCGACCACGCCGUUCACGGAAGGACAUUUGGCACCUGCGCUACAGCUCGGCAUCCCUGAGAGAAGCUACCUGAGAUCACAGAGAGUUUAUACAGUCCAGAUACCCAUGUCUUAUCACACACCCAUGCGGGUCCGAUAGCACAAAAUCAACACAGAGUCAUGAAUGAAAUCUCCGGAGGGCUAGACCUCACAAGAAUUCGCUCCAUUUCCUCAAACGCGUAGGAGAGUCGAGAACAUAGGGGAGAUUCUAUCAGGACUCGAUCCCUUUCACACUAGCUACUCUGUUCGUUUUGUGGAACACUACGGCUUGUCUUCAUGCGUUCAUGACUGUGUGACCUUUUUCUCUGCAGUUGGUGUAAAUAAUAUUGUCUAGCUGUCAGGGACUGUAAAUUCUAUGAAAAAGUGGUGCUCAGCACACCAACUUUGAGAUUUUUCAUACAGGUUAUUAAUAGGACUGUCAAAGUAUGUCUGGCAUCUCAUACACCAGGACUAUGGAGAUGGAAAUGCAGAUUUUAUCUCCCCCCCCCCCCCUUUCCCCCCCCCUAGAUGCAUGUUAGCCAUAUGAUCUGUCUGUUCUCACUGGCUCAAGAACAAAAGUCAUCAGUCCAAACAACGGUGAUCUAGUGAGUGAAAAUAUGACUUGCAAACUUAACAGAUGGUAAAUUAUGACUCUAUUAGUGAGCAGAGAGCUGUGUUUUGUGGGUAAUGAGAUCAGUCUCACUCGACAACCCAUAAAUCCAUGCUUUGAUUAGCACAUCUGCUAUUAUGAAAGAGGCGUUUAUUCAAAGAACAAAACCAGCAGUCGCUUUUCUGUAUUGCUGAAUGGUUCUUGCUUAUUAUGGUGGCGUGGCAUAAACCAACUCGUACGUAUAAAGUUAAGGUGAGUGCGCAUAGCGGGGAUAUAUAUAUAUAUAUAUAUUAUAUGGCUUCCUCAAGUGUUCUUUGGACGGUUAAGUGAUUGGGUUGCUCUAUAUACUGAUUAUUGAUAUUAUUAAAGAAUAUUGUUGGAAUACAGUGGAAAUGAAGUCAAACUCGAAAUCAAAUAAUCACUCCAGCUUUUUCAGUUUCAAGUCCUACAAAAAUUGCAUGAGAUCGAAUUGAAUUUCAACACUAGUGCCCUCUCCACCUGUGUACAUAUAAGAAAUACAACCAUUACAAAAAAUUGUGUGCUUGCUCUCAACUUAUAAUGAAACUAGAUGAUGUGUUAAUGGCAUAUACUGCUUGGUUGGUUUUGACCACAUUUAGAGGGUGUUUAGGAGCUGUGUGUUUGAGUGUUGG
Molecule: long non-coding RNA, 2426 nt
Organism: Ictalurus furcatus (blue catfish)
Lineage: Eukaryota; Metazoa; Chordata; Actinopteri; Siluriformes; Ictaluridae
Exons: 4
Source: RefSeq, a predicted model, not a curated record